AGUGAACGCUGGCGGUAGGCCUAACACAUGCAAGUCGAACGGCAGCACAGAGGAGCUUGCUCCUUGGGUGGCGAGUGGCGGACGGGUGAGGAAUACAUCGGAAUCUACUCUGUCGUGGGGGAUAACGUAGGGAAACUUACGCUAAUACCGCAUACGACCUACGGGUGAAAGCAGGGGAUCUUCGGACCUUACGCGAUUGAAUGAGCCGAUGUCGGAUUAGGUAGUUGGCGGGGUAAAGGCCCACCAAGGCGACGAUCCGUAGCUGGUCUGAGAGGAUGAUCAGCCACACUGGAACUGAGACACGGUCCAGACUCCUACGGGAGGCAGCAGUGGGGAAUAUUGGACAAUGGGCGCAAGCCUGAUCCAGCCAUACCGCGUGGGUGAAGAAGGCCUUCGGGUUGUAAAGCCCUUUUGUUGGGAAAGAAAUCCAUCUGGUUAAUACCCGGGUGGGAUGACGGUACCCAAAGAAUAAGCACCGGCUAACUUCGUGCCAGCCGCCGCAGUAA
This 506-nucleotide ribosomal RNA is filed under the name uncultured bacterium. Its description in RNAcentral is "partial 16S ribosomal RNA". It matches the Rfam family "Bacterial small subunit ribosomal RNA", at positions 29 to 523 of the family's 1533-position model. The record is from RNAcentral.